AGAGUUUGAUCAUGGCUCAGGAUGAACGCUAGCUACAGGCUUAACACAUGCAAGUCGAGGGGAAACGAUAUUGGAAGCUUGCUUCCGAUAGGCGUCGACCGGCGUACGGGUGAGUAACGCGUAUCCAACCUGCCCACCACUUGGGGAUAACCUUGCGAAAGUAAGACUAAUACCCAAUGACGUCUCUAGAAGACAUCUGAAAGAGAUUAAAGAUUUAUCGGUGAUGGAUGGGGAUGCGUCUGAUUAGCUUGUUGGCGGGGUAACGGCCCACCAAGGCGACGAUCAGUAGGGGUUCUGAGAGGAAGGCCCCCCACAUUGGAACUGAGACACGGUCCAAACUCCUACGCAGGGAGCA
Molecule: ribosomal RNA, 355 nt
Filed under: uncultured bacterium
Lineage: Bacteria
Description: bacterial SSU rRNA
Rfam family: Bacterial small subunit ribosomal RNA
Source: RNAcentral